CCAUAAAACAAAAUUUUACUAUGUAUCUGGUACUAAGUUACUAAUACCGUAAUAGUAUCAAUUUUUUAACCUUCAUACUUAGAAAUUGUGCCCCAAAGUGUGUCCGAGACGUAUAAAUAGGAACCAGAACUGUACGACAUGCAUUCUCUUACCAUAACAUGAUUAACUUGAGACCAUCGUCUCUUCGACUAGCUUCAUCACUUCUUCACUCUCUUCCAAACCCUAACCCAUUACACUCACAUCAUCUAGACACACGACAACUUCGCUCUACUUGCUCGGACUCCCAAAAACACGCGCAUGCUCUCAACCUGUUUGAUCAAAUGCUCCAGACACAACCCCUUCCUUCUAUCAAAGACUUCACUAAAUUCUUAAACAUACUUGGAGAUUUGACUAUGCAUUUUCGCUGCUGAGUGGGGUUAUUAAGCGUGGGUUUGGCCCGGAUGUUGUUACUUAUACGACGCUUGUGAGGGGGUUGAUUAGGGGAGAUAUGGGCGUGGAGGCGGAGGGGUUGGUUAGGAAGUUAGUUAGGUGGAAUGAGGUUGAGUUUGAUGUCGUUAUGUAUAGUACGAUUGUCUAUGGACUUUGUAGAGAAGGUGAGGUUUACGCGGCGAUUGAGUGUCUUAGGUUUAUGGAAAAGGAGAAUUGUGAAGCUAAUGCGAUAACUUAUAAUACGAUUAUUGAUGGUUUGUGUAAGAGGGGACUUGUUGAUGGUGCGUUGGACCUUUUUUCUGAAAUGAAGAAGAAAGGUGUGGGAGUGACGGUUGUAACUUACACUUCGUUGAUUCAUGGUUUGUUCAAGUCGGGGCAAUGGGAGGAUGCUAUCUUAUUGUUUGAUUCGAUGGAUGUUUCUCCGGAUGUGUAUACUUAUAGUGUAUUGGUUAAUGGGUAUGGGAAGAGAAAGAUGGUAGAAGAGGCUAGGAAUAUUGUCUUGAGAAUGAUUAAAAUGGACGAAUAUCCUAAUAUAGUCACGUAUACUACACUCAUGCAAGCAUAUUGUUUACAAGGAAAUAUGGAUCAAGCAUUGACCGUGCUCAUCUGUAUGAUGAAUAGCAUGAUAAUUCCUAAUUGUUGGAGUUAUAAUGUUUUGAUGGAUGGUUAUUGCAAGAAAUUGGAAGUUCAUAACGCUUUGAAUCUUUUAAGGAAUAUGGCCCGCGAAGGCUUGGAACCCACAAAUGAGAGUUACAGCAUUUUGUUACAUGGCCUAUGUCAGAUGGGUAAAUUUUCUCAAGCACUUAACUUGUUUUAUGAUAUGCAAGCUCAAGGGUAUAAACCAAAUAUUGUGACUUAUGGUACCCUGAUAAAUGAUCUUUGCAAGAACAAAUACAUAUUUAAAGCACUCUCAUUGUUUCAUGAUAUGCUAUGUAAUGGUUUAAUUCCCAACAGCAUUAUAUAUGAUAUCCUUCUUCGUGGAUGUUAUCGGAAUAAUAUGUAUAGUGAAGCAUAUGUACUCUUGGGCACUAUGAUUGUUCAUGGCAUCUCAGCAGAUGCAUCUACCACUUCAUUUUUACGACGUCUACUCUCCUAGAAAAGUAAAGGACCUGACUCUCCUUGCUAUGCUUCUGCCUUCAGAAAGUGCUUGCAGUUAGAUUGGUAACUUCUUUUUUUGUUAUUAUCCUAAUACUACUACACAAGCUCCAAGCAAGUGAUUUUUAUUCUAUACUGUAUCAAGAGUUACACACACAUAUCAGCAAACAUUAGAGGACAUAUUUUUUCUCUUUUUCCUCAAUAGGAUAGGAAAAUUGUAAGAUAGUUUAAAAGUCUUGUGUUCUGUUCUGUGAUAGUGGCUUUAACCAUGAUUUGCAUCUUGUAACCAUGAUGUACCUUCUGACCCCUCUUUUUAUUCUUGGACAGAUGUUACUUUAGAUUUGAGUUUUCUUUUGCUAUGGAGAUGGUUAGAACUUAGGAGAAUAAAAUGCCUUACAUAAAUUGCUGUAAAUAGUGUGUGCAUUUUCUACUUUUGACUUUCGUCUCUCUAUUAAACAAAGUUGGUAAUAACUAAAGACGUGGGCUAACAAUGCUAUAGACAAAGCAGUCUUUUUGCGCAGCUUAGUGAUGAACAUGUUCAUAUAUAUGUUUAUGGUCAUUCUCAGUACUUCAUUAGGAAAAUGAUUGUUCAUUGAACACUUCAUUAUUCUGAAUCAAUGUUAAAGCCCGUAAUUUUGUUGAAACCGUAUCUGCUGGCAGCCUUGCAUGUUUCUUGAAUGAAAACAUCACAAUAUCAUGUUAUAGUAGUAAACAAUUUGUGGUUCUUCUAUCACACCUGACAGGAUUAAUGACUUCUUAUUAUAAUGAAAUCACUUGUAAAAUUACCAUUCAAACAAGUUAUAACUGAGAUUUUUAAUGAAUGAUUGAUUUUGGAAGUGUGGAUUUUAAUUUAUUUUUGUAAAAGUUGCUUAGGAUUGUUGUUGUUUAUGCUAGCACAGCACAGUAACUUAACACAUAUCUAACGGCAAUAUUGAAUGAAAAGAUGUAAAGUUGGCAUGGUUCAAGGACAGAGACAGAAGUACAUUCAAACUAUAGCAAAACAUAGGUUUUUUGCUGAGAGUCCAUAUCUUCAGGUUAGGGAACUGCAACAUCUUCUUUCUUUAUCUGCAAGAAACCUAUAUGUUUUGUGGGGAAACACGAUUAUAAGAAAUUGUUGUCUCUGGGGAAGUUCUUUCUUGCAUCAAUGACUAGUAUGAUAUUUUAUAUAUAAUACUGGCUCCGUUUGUUAUAUAUGACUAUAAUGACAAAAUUUAUGGUCUGUUACAGGAACAAGAGACCGAAAAUGACACAGACGGUGAUCCUGCAAGGGUUUUUUCGUGGGCUGUUAGGGUACGCCAAGCACCCAAAUACACGGAACAUGAAUGUACAUGAGACGAACGAUUUGCCAGGUCUAUGUGUAGCAAUCUUUCACUUUAAAAUCCAAAGGGAACUUGCAUUAGUGAUCAGACAAUCACACAAUCGCAAUCCGAACAAUGUAAAGCAUGUCUGACAUUAGAGAUAAUCCUCCUUGCAUAAGCCAUGAAAUCAGCAUUUAGCAACACUAUCAUCUUAAAAUGGAGUAAUGGACAUAUUGUGCUGGAAAUUAUAACGGAUGGUUGGUGUCACCUGACUAGCAAAAUAGGGCACUUAACCCUGGCCACCUCAGAAAACCAGUGUUACAAGAGAAUCCUAUUUUAUCUUUUUUAGUAACUUGUACUGCAUUCCUUUUCCUCCCAAGUCAAUUGCUUAUACUAUUAUACAUGACACAUAAGUAGCAGUUUGAAACAUUAUUUAUUUUCCAGCCAGAACUUUUAUUAUACAAUUAUCUAUUUAUCUCA
Daucus carota subsp. sativus is the source of this 3302-nucleotide RNA transcript. It is a transcript of the gene named putative pentatricopeptide repeat-containing protein At1g12700, mitochondrial, with no coding region annotated. The transcript is spliced from 3 exons. The record is from RefSeq and is a predicted model, not a curated record. Lineage: Eukaryota; Viridiplantae; Streptophyta; Magnoliopsida; Apiales; Apiaceae.